RNAcentral lists this ribosomal RNA (680 nucleotides) under Shigella sonnei. RNAcentral describes it as "partial 23S ribosomal RNA". It matches the Rfam family "Bacterial large subunit ribosomal RNA", at positions 199 to 920 of the family's 2925-position model. Lineage: Bacteria; Pseudomonadati; Pseudomonadota; Gammaproteobacteria; Enterobacterales; Enterobacteriaceae. The record is from RNAcentral.
CAUCUAAGUACCCCGAGGAAAAGAAAUCAACCGAGAUUCCCCCAGUAGCGGCGAGCGAACGGGGAGGAGCCCAGAGCCUGAAUCAGUGUGUGUGUUAGUGGAAGCGUCUGGAAAGGCGCGCGAUACAGGGUGACAGCCCCGUACACAAAAAUACACAUAUUGUGAGCUCGAUGAGUAGGGCGGGACACGUGGUAUCCUGUCUGAAUAUGGGGGACCCAUCCUCCAAGGCUAAAUACUCCUGACUGACCGAUAGUGAACCAGUACCGUGAGGGAAAGGCGAAAAGAACCCCGGCGAGGGGAGUGAAAAAGAACCUGAAACCGUGUACGUACAAGCAGUGGGAGCACGCUUAGGCGUGUGACUGCGUACCUUUUGUAUAAUGGGUCAGCGACUUAUAUUCUGUAGCAAGGUUAACCGAAUAGGGGAGCCGAAGGGAAACCGAGUCUUAACUGGGCGUUAAGUUGCAGGGUAUAGACCCGAAACCCGGUGAUCUAGCCAUGGGCAGGUUGAAGGUUGGGUAACACUAACUGGAGGACCGAACCGACUAAUGUUGAAAAAUUAGCGGAUGACUUGUGGCUGGGGGUGAAAGGCCAAUCAAACCGGGAGAUAGCUGGUUCUCCCCGAAAGCUAUUUAGGUAGCGCCUCGUGAAUUCAUCUCCGGGGGUAGAGCACUGUUUCGGCA